This 448-nucleotide ribosomal RNA is filed under the name uncultured Rickettsiales bacterium. RNAcentral describes it as "bacterial SSU rRNA". It matches the Rfam family "Bacterial small subunit ribosomal RNA", at positions 29 to 505 of the family's 1533-position model. The record is from RNAcentral. Lineage: Bacteria; Pseudomonadati; Pseudomonadota; Alphaproteobacteria; Rickettsiales.
AGUGAACGCUGGCGGCGUGCUUAACACAUGCAAGUCGAACGAGUAAGUGCUGUAGUAAUACGGAUUACUGCUAGUGGCAGACGGGUGAGUAGUACAUGGGAAUCUACCCUAUGGUGGGGAAUAACAGUUGGAAACGACUGCUAAUACCGCAUAAUGCCGAGAGGCCAAAGAUUUAUCGCCAAAGGAUGAGCCCAUGCAAGAUUAGCUUGUUGGUGGGGUAAUGGCCUACCAAGGCUCCGAUCUUUAGCUGGUCUGAGAGGAUGAUCAGCCACACUGGAACUGAGACACGGUCCAGACUCCUACGGGAGGCAGCAGUGGGGAAUAUUGGACAAUGGGCGCAAGCCUGAUCCAGCAACGCCGCGUGAGUGAUGAAGGUCUUCGGGUUGUAAAGCUCUUUUAAUAGGGAAGAUAAUGACGGUACCUAUAGAAAAAGCCCCGGCUAACUUCG